Long non-coding RNA from Artibeus jamaicensis (Jamaican fruit-eating bat), 379 nucleotides. RefSeq lists it as uncharacterized. The transcript has 3 exons. The record is from RefSeq and is a predicted model, not a curated record. Lineage: Eukaryota; Metazoa; Chordata; Mammalia; Chiroptera; Phyllostomidae.
GUAGCUCAUUUGAGCUUGGCCUGGCUCAGGGGAAAGGCAGCAGUGCCCCAAAAGUCUGGCAGUGGUGGGAGAGUCGCGUUCCCUCGCGUUUUAGUUCACAGUCAGGAAAGAAGGCAAGAGGGGCUUGCUGACUUAAAAUUGCAUAAGAGCUUGUCUUCCCUGAUCCUCAAGUAUUAGUGAGACAGUCCCUAAUAUCCCUGGUGUAAGAUGUGGAAAAGAAGCAUGAAAUAACCAAGCAGCGGGAACCGAGGAAAAUAGAGAAUAAAAGAAAUAGGAAAAAACGGCAACUGUACCUGCAACGCUGACUAACAACGGAGUUAAAAUAGCCCCACACCAGGGUGCCAGGUUGCAUUGCUGUUCCAUCUCUCCGGUCUCCUGU